This is a long non-coding RNA of Salmo salar (Atlantic salmon), 2634 nucleotides long. RefSeq lists it as uncharacterized. The record is from RefSeq and is a predicted model, not a curated record. Lineage: Eukaryota; Metazoa; Chordata; Actinopteri; Salmoniformes; Salmonidae.
AUUCCACUAUAAAUCAACGUGGACAUUUACUGCUAAGCUUUUAGAUAACACACUAAGAGCCUUGUUUAUAUAGCUUUGUAGGCAUGGUUUUGGUCUCAUGAGUAAAAGAUAAUGACAUAGGCAGUGACAUCACGAGGGCUGGACUUCGGAUUUGAUAAAAUAACAUUGGACCUUUUCUUUGACGCAGAACUUACUCGGAAACAUUCGUGCUAUGUUCCUGAUUGUCAACUUCUGUCUGCAAUUGCAUUAACAAAGGUUUCUGAAUGAUUUAAUUAAAGAUAUUGUCAUAAUACUAAUUUCACCAAUGAGCCAAUGAUUGACAAGGAACAAGGAGGAACGAACCCCAACAUUUGGCAAGCUUGCCAGGAGUGAGUGUCACCCCGGUUGGCGGAGAUUCCACACCACCAUGUUGCCAGAGCUCAAAAUUAAAUAAGGUAACCAUGAUAACACCAAUAGCCCUGCGGGUAUAGGAAAGGUCCGGCUAGCAUCAUCUCUCCCACCGCAAGCAUCUCCCAGAGUGGAAGCCAUGGAUGAGCGACUGGAGGGAGAGCAGGGCCCCGAGAACAUCUGGAGGAUGAAGAAGGUCCGAGCCAAAGGACAGGAGCAGAAGGCUGAGACCAAAGGUCAGAAGAACCAACAGAGGGUUCAGCCACAGAACCUGAAGAGUCAUCAGAUAUCGAGGAAACCAUCAUACACACACUCUACGGUUGUGAAAGAAAAUCGCAACCAUGGAAAAACACAUGCUGGGCAUUUAUUGCUCUCCAAAUCCUACUCGUUCCCUUUGUGGACGGGGAUGUGGAGAAUAAUAAAUGUGUGAAAACAGUGACAUACAUAGGAUUACAGGGGAGGGGGAACACAUCUGGCACACGGGUAAUGGUUUUCCAGAAACCCACCUCCACAGCAUUUCUGUGGGAAACCCAGGUAGCACCAAUUGGAAAGAAUGAUUUUGGAUGUUAAUUACUCAAUUUUAUGCAAAGGAACAAUACCAGGGUUCGACAAAGAAACAGCAAUUAUACUAUUCUGAUGUUGGUCACUAGGGGGAAGGAAGUAACAUGGGAAGGUGGAUUAUCCAAUAAGACAAUAGGUAAGAGUUCAGAUGCAGCUAAAGUAUUUAAGGAGCGUGGGCACAUUGAAACUAAUUGGCCAAGGUAGGAGAAGGUUCCUAGUGUAGAACCAGGUAACAAUUCCCAGCUGAUUAAAUGCAUAGGACCUCCAAAAGUACAAUGGGGAGAGUAUUUGACUGGUAGUGUAAAGCCCCUAAAUGAUAAAGGAGAUGUUGUGUUGACAGGAUUAAAACCCAUAAUAACUCCCCCUGUUUGUAUCUGCAACUCAGGGAAUGUGGAUGUAGGAAACGACACUAAAUUGCCUGUCUUACACAGGCCUAAAAACAGAUACCAGUAGUUGUGAUGUAUUGGAUGGGCAACAAUUGAUAACUAGGGUAAAUAUAUCAAACAUGGAAGAUGAAUGUGCAAGUAGAGAUACUGGGGUGCAAAGGAGCAAGAUAAAUAAAUACAGUAUGGGGAUGAGGUAGUUGGAUGGGCUAUUGGGAGAUGGGCUAUAGUAAUAAAGUACUAAUGAACUACAAGUAAUAAAUACCUUUAAAUACAAACUUUGAUCAAUUAAUUUGAAUAGAUUUUGUAUUCACUUAUAAUCAUUGUCUUUUUAGGGAAUAUGCAACAACCAAAACAUUACAUGCAAUGAGGCAGUCUGUAAUGUGAAAUGCAAAUAGCCAAGGUCAUCAACAAAACAUUAAGUAUAUGAGAGAGGUUUUGAUAAUUUCCCCCCCUAAUCUAGCUCUCUCUGUUACUGUUUCUUUCUCUCUCUUACCAUUAUGAGGUAGGUGCUGAGGGUUUCUGCAAGUACCAUUCGAACAUACUCAUUCUUUAUCACCCAGAUCAUUGACAGCUUUCUACUUCUUCCAUGCGCUUGUACACUCCCCUGCUUCAUCUCAAGCAUUGAGUCUUUCAUGUUUUUCUGACUGUCUUGUAUUUCUGCUGCUUGUCUUUCUCUUAUUUCCACAGAGUCACACUCAAGUUCACAGUCCUGGUUGUCAAGUAAUCCGGAAGAAUUUGGGCAACGACAUUGCCAUUGCCUGUUUUUCUAUUGUCUCUUUUUGGUCCAUUUAGAUUGUACACAAAAAAAUGUACAAAAUGUUAUGGUUAAAAAUGUUCAUGUUUUACUGUGGCUUGUAGGCUCCUAAGUGGACCAUAAGGUUAAAAACCAAACCCCCCCCCAAAAAACUGUCACAACGUUGACAGAAGGUGGCGCCUCUCCUCGUUCGGGCGGCGCUCGGCGGUCGUCGUCGCCGGCCUACUAGCUGCCACCGAUCCACUUUUCAUUUUAUUUUGGUGAUGUCUGUUAUAUGUGUGCACCUGUAUUGAGUUAGGUCGUUAGUGGGGGGGUUAUUUAGUCUGUCUGUUUAGGUUUGGGGAUUGUGCGGGAUUGUUUUUUGUCUGCGUUGUUUAGGUUGGGGUUUAGGUUUUCCUCUGCCAUUUGUUUAUUAAUGUAUAUGAGUUUUCCUGGGCUGCACCCCUACUCUGUUUACAGGCUCUUAACCUUUUGAUGUAUUUCGCCCUGCCUUGCAUUUUUUUUGGCAGUUUUGGACUGAUACCUAUUAAAACGUGUUUUCACGGA